GAGUAGCCCGUACGAGGCGGGGACCUGGCCUUGCCGCAAUGCCCAAGUACUACGAGGAUAAGGAGGAGGACGGGCGGGCCUGUGGGGGAGUCAGGGAGGACCUGCGGCAGUGCCUGCUGGAGAGUCCCUGCGUCCUGCAGGAAAACAAAAGUCCUAAACAAUGUUUGAUGGAAGGACACUGUAGGAGUUUGCAAAUGACAUUUUUUGCAUGCAAAAGAUCAAUGUUGGAUGCCAGGGCAAGAUUCAGAGGAAGGAAGGGAUACUGAAAUCCUUGUGAAGAGACCCAGACAUGGGAAAUUGGGGUCCAUCGUUUCGUUUUAAGGAAAGCAGGGAAGAUUGUAUCUGCUGCAUCCCGCCAUGCAGUAUUUUUGUGGAAAUUACCUGCUCCUGACUAUUCCAAUAGAUUGAUCUGGACCCAUAUUUAGAUGUUAAAAAGAAAGCAAGCUUAAACCUGCAAGGUCUGGUCAAAAUGGGUACUUGUCAUGCAUUGGUAAUAAAAUUGUAGACUCCAGAAGAAGAUGCAGAAGUGAUUAUUCUGUUUCAAAGUGAAGUUGUCUUUUGUGAUUUUACUAAUUCUGAUGAUAUUUUACCACUAUAAGUUGUAGGAGAUCUGGAGCUGGGAGUUCCCUUGACUGGUAUCCAAGAGGAUACCUCAGGAUAGAGCUGUCUGUGGAAAUGACAAGUUCACCGAGGUUGUGAAAUGUAUGUACAAGCUGCUUCCUCCCCAGAAGGUAUCUUCAGAAAAUUAUGAACCACUUGUUUCUCUAACAACUCUCUGAAGGAAGAAAAUUCUAUAAACAGAGCAGCUUCUGGAAGUGGACUCUGCUUUCUUGUCAGGAUUUACAUUAGGCUGAUUAAUCAUACCCUUAAACAUUAAAAGGAGAAGAAGCAACAAACUUAAGUAUUUUAGUAUCUGCUUCAUGAUGUCAACAGCAGGUGAUACAUUUCAAGUAAUAAUGUAUUUUUGUAGAUAAACAUUGAAAUUAUUUUUCCCCUCAAGCUGGUAUUUUUCUGUCUUGGUGAACGCUCUUAUGUACCAUAUUCUUCCUUUCUGUAUAGGUACUAAUGGACUGAAGGGUAAUGGAAGGGACUGAUUGUUUAAGAUUUUU
Molecule: RNA transcript, 1109 nt
Organism: Dryobates pubescens (Downy woodpecker)
Lineage: Eukaryota; Metazoa; Chordata; Aves; Piciformes; Picidae
Gene name: cytochrome c oxidase assembly factor 5
Exons: 4
Source: RefSeq, a predicted model, not a curated record